This 610-nucleotide ribosomal RNA is filed under the name Pseudomonas putida. Its description in RNAcentral is "bacterial SSU rRNA". It matches the Rfam family "Bacterial small subunit ribosomal RNA", at positions 33 to 638 of the family's 1533-position model. The record is from RNAcentral. Lineage: Bacteria; Pseudomonadati; Pseudomonadota; Gammaproteobacteria; Pseudomonadales; Pseudomonadaceae.
ACGCUGGCGGCAGGCCUAACACAUGCAAGUCGAGCGGAUGACGGGAGCUUGCUCCUUGAUUCAGCGGCGGACGGGUGAGUAAUGCCUAGGAAUCUGCCUGGUAGUGGGGGACAACGUUUCGAAAGGAACGCUAAUACCGCAUACGUCCUACGGGAGAAAGCAGGGGACCUUCGGGCCUUGCGCUAUCAGAUGAGCCUAGGUCGGAUUAGCUAGUUGGUGGGGUAAUGGCUCACCAAGGCGACGAUCCGUAACUGGUCUGAGAGGAUGAUCAGUCACACUGGAACUGAGACACGGUCCAGACUCCUACGGGAGGCAGCAGUGGGGAAUAUUGGACAAUGGGCGAAAGCCUGAUCCAGCCAUGCCGCGUGUGUGAAGAAGGUCUUCGGAUUGUAAAGCACUUUAAGUUGGGAGGAAGGGCAGUAAGUUAAUACCUUGCUGUUUUGACGUUACCGACAGAAUAAGCACCGGCUAACUCUGUGCCAGCAGCCGCGGUAAUACAGAGGGUGCAAGCGUUAAUCGGAAUUACUGGGCGUAAAGCGCGCGUAGGUGGUUUGUUAAGUUGGAUGUGAAAGCCCCGGGCUCAACCUGGGAACUGCAUCCAAAACUGGCA